RNAcentral lists this ribosomal RNA (482 nucleotides) under uncultured bacterium. Its description in RNAcentral is "partial 16S ribosomal RNA". It matches the Rfam family "Bacterial small subunit ribosomal RNA", at positions 30 to 507 of the family's 1533-position model. The record is from RNAcentral.
AUUGAACGCUGGCGGCAUGCUUUACACAUGCGAGUCGAACGGUAACAGGCCGCAAGGUGCUGACGAGUGGCGAACGGGUGAGUAAUGCAUCGGAACGUGCCCAGUCGUGGGGGAUAACUACUCGAAAGAGUAGCUAAUACCGCAUACGAUCUAUGGAUGACAGCGGGGGACCGUAAGGCCUCGCGCGAUUGGAGCGGCCGAUGUCAGAUUAGGUAGUUGGUGGGGUAAAGGCUCACCAAGCCAACGAUCUGUAGCUGGUCUGAGAGGACGACCAGCCACACUGGGACUGAGACACGGCCCAGACUCCUACGGGAGGCAGCAGUGGGGAAUUUUGGACAAUGGGCGCAAGCCUGAUCCAGCAAUGCCGCGUGCAGGAAGAAGGCCUUCGGGUUGUAAACUGCUUUUGUACGGAACGAAACGGCUCUGGUUAAUACCCGGGGCUAAUGACGGUACCGUAAGAAUAAGCACCGGCUAACUACGUG